This 497-nucleotide ribosomal RNA is filed under the name uncultured bacterium. RNAcentral's name for it is "partial 16S ribosomal RNA". It matches the Rfam family "Bacterial small subunit ribosomal RNA", at positions 28 to 507 of the family's 1533-position model. The record is from RNAcentral.
GAUGAACGCUGGCGGCGUGCCUAACACAUGCAAGUCGAGCGAAAAGACGAGGCGCUUGCCUCCCUGACGUUAGCGGCGCACGGGUGAGUAACACGUGGAUAACAUACCUAUAAGACUGGGAUUACUUAGGGAAAACGGAGCUAAUACCGGCUAAUCUAUUGAACCGCAUGGUUCAAUAGUGAAAGACGGUUUUGCUUCCACUUAUAGCUGGUUCCGCGCCGCAUUAGCUAGUUGGUCAGGUAACGGCUUACCAAGGCAACGAUGCGUAGCCGACCUGAGAGGGUGAUCGGCCACACUGGAACUGAGACACGGUCCAGACUCCUACGGGAGGCAGCAGUAGGGAAUCUUCCGCAAUGGGCGAAAGCCUGACGGAGCAACGCCGCGUGAGUGAUGAAGGUCUUCGGAUCGUAAAACUCUGUUAUUGGGGAAGAACAAAGGUGUAAGUAACUAUGCACGUCUUGACGGUACCUAAUCAGAAAGCCACGGCUAACUACGUG